This 28-nucleotide small RNA is filed under the name Bombyx mori (domestic silkworm). Its description in RNAcentral is "piRNA piR-bmo-1523166". The record is from RNAcentral. Lineage: Eukaryota; Metazoa; Arthropoda; Insecta; Lepidoptera; Bombycidae.
UCUUCACUGCCCCUUCCUUUGCCCUUCC